This is a non-coding RNA of Monodelphis domestica (gray short-tailed opossum), 835 nucleotides long. Lineage: Eukaryota; Metazoa; Chordata; Mammalia; Didelphimorphia; Didelphidae. The record is from RefSeq and is a predicted model, not a curated record.
AGGGAUGGGUGUUGGGGUGGGGAGGAGGUUGGCAGUGGGAGCUCUAGGAGCAACCAGCCCAGCUUCCCCUAAUAGGGUGCAGGAUCAGAGACACCUUCAGCUGGGACCAGAACCCUGGACUGGGGACCCUGGGGAGGGAAAGUUGCCCUAAGUUAUGCAGGUGGCUUCACAGGGUUUGUCAGGCACAUUCUGCACUGUUCCCCCAGCUUAGAAUGUGGGCUCAAAGCCACAAAAGCCAACAUGGAGGGAGUCUCAGGCCAUUUGCCCUCCUGCUGCAGUAAUGAAUUUGGCCAAGGUUCAGGGUUCCCUUUAAAGGCCAAAUGUCCCCUUCCCCCAGUUAGUAUUGGAGCCAUUGAGAGAUACAGUAGUGAAUGAGCUGCUUUCUCUUAAGAUCUGGGAGAUCAAAACUGCCCCAUUGUCCCAGGUUCUGCCUGUCCCCGAGUUAGCAGUACCCACCACUUCCGUUUUCCCAUAAUCACACGAUUUCAUUUCUAUACGUUUAUUUGCACCUGCCCACUUCCGUUUCUGGUCACACCCUGUUCCUGCUUGCCUCACUUCCAGUUAGCCCCAUUUCCGUUUCCUGUCUCUUUGCCAGGCCUCUUGCCAUUCUCUUCCCUGCUUGGGCAGUGGGCUCCGAGGAGGUAGCUGCUGGUUGGAAAGUGUAAACAAGCAGUAAAACAAAGAGAAAAAUAAUCAUUUACAACAUAUCUGCUGUGAGAAAGAUGAUAGCUAAAGGCGUUUUCCAGCAUCACUGUGACAUCAGGCUUCUCACUUCUGGACCCAUAAACCCACCAUUCAUUUUUUUUGAAUACCAAUUAAAGUGUUUUCUCAAGAA